This 81-nucleotide transfer RNA is filed under the name Promicromonospora citrea. Its description in RNAcentral is "tRNA-Ser". The record is from RNAcentral. Lineage: Bacteria; Bacillati; Actinomycetota; Actinomycetes; Micrococcales; Promicromonosporaceae.
GGUGCCCGUGGCCGGGAAGGCGGCGUUCUGAUGACGCCCGUCCGCGCGGCCCGCCCCCGGUUCGACCCCGAGCUCGCGCCG